Molecule: ribosomal RNA, 715 nt
Filed under: Burkholderia pseudomallei
Lineage: Bacteria; Pseudomonadati; Pseudomonadota; Betaproteobacteria; Burkholderiales; Burkholderiaceae
Description: bacterial SSU rRNA
Rfam family: Bacterial small subunit ribosomal RNA
Source: RNAcentral
CGGGCUUCGGCCUGGUGGCGAGUGGCGAACGGGUGAGUAAUACAUCGGAACAUGUCCUGUAGUGGGGGAUAGCCCGGCGAAAGCCGGAUUAAUACCGCAUACGAUCUGAGGAUGAAAGCGGGGGACCUUCGGGCCUCGCGCUAUAGGGUUGGCCGAUGGCUGAUUAGCUAGUUGGUGGGGUAAAGGCCUACCAAGGCGACGAUCAGUAGCUGGUCUGAGAGGACGACCAGCCACACUGGGACUGAGACACGGCCCAGACUCCUACGGGAGGCAGCAGUGGGGAAUUUUGGACAAUGGGCGCAAGCCUGAUCCAGCAAUGCCGCGUGUGUGAAGAAGGCCUUCGGGUUGUAAAGCACUUUUGUCCGGAAAGAAAUCAUUCUGGCUAAUACCCGGAGUGGAUGACGGUACCGGAAGAAUAAGCACCGGCUAACUACGUGCCAGCAGCCGCGGUAAUACGUAGGGUGCGAGCGUUAAUCGGAAUUACUGGGCGUAAAGCGUGCGCAGGCGGUUUGCUAAGACCGAUGUGAAAUCCCCGGGCUCAACCUGGGAACUGCAUUGGUGACUGGCAGGCUAGAGUAUGGCAGAGGGGGGUAGAAUUCCACGUGUAGCAGUGAAAUGCGUAGAGAUGUGGAGGAAUACCGAUGGCGAAGGCAGCCCCCUGGGCCAAUACUGACGCUCAUGCACGAAAGCGUGGGGAGCAAACAGGAUUAGAUAC